Helicoverpa armigera (cotton bollworm) is the source of this 1758-nucleotide long non-coding RNA. RefSeq lists it as uncharacterized. NCBI's taxonomy places the organism in Eukaryota, Metazoa, Arthropoda, Insecta, Lepidoptera, Noctuidae. The transcript is spliced from 2 exons. The record is from RefSeq and is a predicted model, not a curated record.
UAUAAUGUUAAUACCGGGGAAAUUCGAUCAGAUUUGAAGUUUCGAAAAGAGUUUUACGACAUUUCUAUAAACUUCUUUUAGAUUUAGUUUAGAAGCUGCAAUAGCGAGUAAUUUCGCUGAAUUGAAGUUAAAGCUGUAUCGUUUCUCAUGACCGUUUCCUCCAUGUCCUUAAAAUCGUACAUAAUAAUACUAAUAGUAAAUGAAGUUCUGUUUCUGGGACCCAAAUCAUCACCGGUGUCUUGGACCCUGUAUCCGCUAUCGCUGCCCAUCUAUUUUUAAUAUUUUUAAAUGUUUCUUAUUUGGUUAUUUAAUAUUUAAAAAUGUACUAUAUAUAUAAAAUGAAGAAGAAGAAUAUAUAUAAAAAAAGAAGUUCUAUGACAUCGAAUUACUAGAAUCCUAAUCGAUUAGUAAAAUCCUGUGUUUUAUCGCCAAGAAUAACGAAACGUUUCUAAAAAAAAAAACACAAAUUAAUUUGACAUUUUGACAGUGACAAGCAACUGACUAAACUGACAGUAAUUAUUAAUGUAAUGCAAAUAAAAUUGCUAAAAGUGAAAAACAACGGAUCGAUGUUCAAAAUAGGAAAGUGUUUAUCGCUAUUAUUUUACUAUACGAAAUUGUUGUAACUGAAAAUAACUUUUCUACGUGUAAAAAGAGGUGUUGAGAGUUACGCUUAUAUCUUUCCAGUAAUCGUACAAACGGAAAUCAGAAUGACUUCAGAAAAGAAUGCCCAAGUGGGUCAAGCGCGUGAAGCUUUUCAAAUGAUGUAUCAGAUAUCACAACUGCUCUGCACAGGUCUGGAUGCAGACACUCUGUCAAUCUGCAUACGACUGUGUGAGCUAGGCGUCGAUCCUGAAGUAUUAGCCCACGUUAUCAAAGAAAUCAGAAAAAUGGGUGAUAAUGCUGCCCAAAACAGACCCGCUAAUUUACAACCAUAAAACUAUUACAAAUCAAAAUUAACAUCAAUUGCCCCAAUAUAAUGCUUUAAAAUAAUGAACUAUUUUUGUACACCAUUGUAUUUGGAAGUUGACUUGUCUUCAUUUUAGAAUAAUGAGACCUUGCAGUUAAAUAAGGUCUAUGUAUAAGUGAUUAAGUUGGCACAGACAAGGCAUCCUUAGAGUACAAAUGUAAAGAUUCUGGGAUGUUGUCACAAACAGUUUAUCACAAGCACUAUCAGGGAUAUUGCUUGUCUGAGCUCAGCUUUAAGAUUAAUUGAAAAUGUGUAAUCAAAACUGUUCAGUAAUUAUUGUCUCUAUGUAAUACACGGAUAAUAUUGUACAGUUAUCAAUAAUGACAAUAUUUUUACAGUAUUAUCAGUCUUCUUGUCUUGUUAAUUGAUUAGUGAGCACUUCGAAAUUCUGUUGAGAAUAAUUUUCUAAUUGAUUUUAAGGAUAUGACCAAUAAUGAAUUGAUUAUUGUGGUAUUAAAUUGAAAGUUCUUAAAACUUUCAUAAUGUCAAUAUGCAAACUUGAAUCUCAAAUAAUGAACCAUGAUGCUACGAGUUAAAUUAAUGAAGAAACUUCUCUAUUUUGCAUCAUAAAAUAAUUGAUCACAUUUUACUAUUUUGUGAAUAAACAAAUAGAUGAGAAAGCUAUAUCUCAGCAGAAAGUAGUUUCAAUGAUGUAAUGUCCCAACUUAUUGUAAGUGUCAAUCCUUCAUGUCCCAAAAUUAUUAUAAAUAAUGUGUUAUACCUAAAAUGUAAAUAUGUUUAAUGUUUUAAUUUAGUAAUCUAACUAAAUAAAACAACAAUAUCUAAAAAAA